This 500-nucleotide ribosomal RNA is filed under the name uncultured Glomus. RNAcentral's name for it is "SSU rRNA". It matches the Rfam family "Eukaryotic small subunit ribosomal RNA", at positions 569 to 1076 of the family's 1831-position model. Lineage: Eukaryota; Fungi; Glomeromycota; Glomeromycetes; Glomerales; Glomeraceae. The record is from RNAcentral.
AGCAGCCGCGGUAAUUCCAGCUCCAAUAGCGUAUAUUAAAGUUGUUGCAGUUAAAAAGCUCGUAGUUGAAUUUCGGGAUUAGUGCGCUGGUCAUGCCUUUGGUAUGUACCGGUGUUACUGAUUUCUACCUUCUGAAGAACCGUUAUGUCAUUUAUUUGGUGUGGCGGGGAAUCAGGACUGUUACUUUGAAAAAAUUAGAGUGUUUAAAGCAGGCUCGCGCUUGAAUACAUUAGCAUGGAAUAAUGAAAUAGGACGUUUGACCCUAUUUUGUUGGUUUCUAGGUAUCGACGUAAUGAUUAAUAGGGAUAGUUGGGGGCAUUAGUAUUCAAUUGUCAGAGGUGAAAUUCUUGGAUUUAUGAAGCUAACUACUGCGAAAGCAUUUGCCAAGGAUGUUUUCAUUAAUCAAGAACGGAAGUUAGGGAUCGAAGACGAUCAGAUACGUCGUAGUCUUAACCAUAGACUAUGCCGAUAGGGAUCGGAUGAUGUUAUUUUAAUGUACU